RNAcentral lists this ribosomal RNA (200 nucleotides) under uncultured bacterium. Its description in RNAcentral is "partial 16S ribosomal RNA". It matches the Rfam family "Bacterial small subunit ribosomal RNA", at positions 8 to 214 of the family's 1533-position model. The record is from RNAcentral.
AGAGUUUGAUCCUGGCUCAGAUUGAACGCUGGCGGCAUGCUUUACACAUGCAAGUCGAACGCGAAAGGGGGCAACCCUGAGUAGAGUGGCGCACGGGUGAGUAAUGCAUCGGAACGUGUCCUGUAAUGGGGGAUAACUUAGCGAAAGCUAAGCUAAUACCGCAUACGUCCUACGGGAGAAAGUGGGGGAUCGUAAGACCU